This is a long non-coding RNA of Erinaceus europaeus (western European hedgehog), 601 nucleotides long. RefSeq lists it as uncharacterized. The transcript is spliced from 4 exons. NCBI's taxonomy places the organism in Eukaryota, Metazoa, Chordata, Mammalia, Eulipotyphla, Erinaceidae. The record is from RefSeq and is a predicted model, not a curated record.
GCCAGGCCAGCCUGAGCCAAUCUGGUCUUGCUCUCCACACACCGCUGGGCCUAGGAGCCACUCAUUCACAGAAAGGUCCGCCAGAGAUAGAAACCAAGGAGGCAUACCACUACAUCGCUCCACUGUUCAUGAAACUUUUCUUAGUGCCAUACACAGUGCUCCCAGGUGGUGCUGGAAGCUGGAACCUGCAUUCUUGAGUACAGCAAAUUAUGUGCUCUACCAGGAUCCAUAAGAGAAGAUGAGGACACAGGGCAAACCAGUGCCAAGACCAGAGAGAAUGCCACUAGGUUCCAGAUGCUAACAUGAUGCCAACCAGACGACCCCACCAAUAUGUGCUUCCCCAGAACCCCACCUCACUAGGGAAAGAAAGAGGCUGGGAGUAUGGAUCGACCUGUUAACACCCAUGUUCAGCGGGGAAGCAAUUACAGAAGCCAGACCUCCCACCUUCUAAACCCCAUAAUAACCCUGGGCCCACACUCCCAGAGGGAUAAAGAAUAGUAAAGUUAUCAGGGGAGGGGACGGGAUAUGGAGUUCUGGUGGUGGGAACUGUGUGGAGUUGUACCCUUUAAAAAAUGUUUCUUUUAUAAAUAAAAAAAAUUUU